GGAUAAUAUAGCUCAAUCAGAGCAACUGUAUGUGGCACAGUAGGUUCUCUGUUCAAUUCAGAGUAUUGUCC
RNAcentral lists this transfer RNA (71 nucleotides) under Neurospora crassa. RNAcentral describes it as "tRNA-His". Lineage: Eukaryota; Fungi; Ascomycota; Sordariomycetes; Sordariales; Sordariaceae. The record is from RNAcentral.